This is a long non-coding RNA of Coregonus clupeaformis (lake whitefish), 168 nucleotides long. RefSeq lists it as uncharacterized. The transcript has 3 exons. Lineage: Eukaryota; Metazoa; Chordata; Actinopteri; Salmoniformes; Salmonidae. The record is from RefSeq and is a predicted model, not a curated record.
GACGAACACGUCUCUCAACAUGUCAAGUGCUCGGUUGAAGACUGCAGCUUCACUGCUCAUGAGAAGCUGGUCAACAUUCACUGGAAGAAUAACCAUGCCCCAGGAGCAAAGAGAAUCAAGCUGGACACUGAAGAGGAGAUCUCUAAAUGGAGAGAGGAGCGGCGCAGG